AUGUUUAACAUUUUUUUUUCUAAAUAUUUGUGGGGAAUUUUUAAGAAAAGAUUGAGAAAUUUGCCAUGGUUUGAGAUGAUCAGCAUUGCUAUUUCACCAAUAGGGAGUCAGUUAAUUAUGAACACAUUCUGGGGAAGGGCAUCUGAACAUACCCUUCAUGAGCAUGUGGAAUGGUGGAAUAGAGCAGAGCCACCUCUGUGUCUCCACUUACUGUUUCAGAUUCUGGAGAGGCAUGAUGUUUCUGGAGCAGCUUCAGAGUAUUAUAAUGAAAUUCAGAAAACUGUGUUGCUGCCCCCUUUGGAAGCUGUGAAUAUCAGCAAAAGGACAGAUAAGAGUAUCCCUCCUCAUUUAUUGCAUAUUUGAAUAUCAAAAUGGCUAAGCAAUGGAUACCAUGCAAGAAGGAACACCAAAGGAAAAAAAAAAUUGGGGAAGUAAAACCCAAAUGAGGACCAUGACUCAAGACAUGGAAAUGGAAAGAGAAAAGAGAUAUCUGGGGGAACGCAGGAGUCCAGAUUUCCCCUGUGAGGGGUAGAGAGAAGGCUAAUGAGGAAAGGAUCAAGUUUGUGGUGUGGACCCAAAUUUAAAAACUAGAUGUUGGAUGGGAGAGAAAGAAAACAUCAUAAAUAUUUUCCUCAUUUCAAGGUAAUGUUUUAGCUAAAUUCUAUUUGUAAAGGAGUGGGGGACAUAUCUGUUUCAGAAUUGUCCAUAAUUUGAAAUGUAUUUGUGUGAACUUGAAAAUUUAGAAAAAUUAACACUAUUUACAUCUAUGAGGAUCAAUAUUUCAUUGAAUCAGUCUUGGCCUUGACAGUCCAUGGGCUGGACCAAAUCAUCAAUGUUUCUCAUGAAAGUUUUUUGUCAUGUAAUUGUCAUGGGAUUAUUUUUAGGUGCCUAAGUAUCUUGCAGUAAACUUAAGAAAUUUAUGGUCUUAUUUUGGGAUUUUUAUAAACCAGGACAGGAGUUCAAAGCUUAGAAAUAAAUUUGCAAAAUAAUUAUCAAGCUGUGACUAUGUUAGGUGCUAUUGGAACUGCAGAAGAGUUGGAAGGUAUUAUCCCUUUACUAAAAGCAUGCAUAGGUAGUUAAUGAAGGUAAAAUUUUGGAAAAUAAAUAGCACUUUACAAGGAAUUAAGAGUAAUGAGGAGGUACAGAGAUUGGGACAAGAGAAGUCUUUCAUUCUGAUUUAACCACUUCCAAGCUCAAUAGCCUUUAGUGUCACUUAGGUUCUAUAUAAUGAAUAUAAUGAUGUCACUCUCACAGAAUGGAUGCAAUUAUUAAAUAAGUUCAGACAUCAAAUGUACCAUAGUUCCAAGCAUCACACAGCAGUCACACACACACACACACACACA
RNAcentral lists this long non-coding RNA (1343 nucleotides) under Ictidomys tridecemlineatus (thirteen-lined ground squirrel). Its description in RNAcentral is "lncRNA (ENSSTOG00000034192.1)". The record is from RNAcentral. Lineage: Eukaryota; Metazoa; Chordata; Mammalia; Rodentia; Sciuridae.